GGGGAUUUAGCUCAGUGGGAUAAGCCCUUGCCUGGCAAGCAUGAGGUCAUGAGUUCAAUCCCCA
RNAcentral lists this transfer RNA (64 nucleotides) under Cavia porcellus (domestic guinea pig). It matches the Rfam family "tRNA", at positions 1 to 62 of the family's 71-position model. From Rfam's summary of the family: Transfer RNA (tRNA) molecules are approximately 80 nucleotides in length. Their secondary structure includes four short double-helical elements and three loops (D, anti-codon, and T loops). Lineage: Eukaryota; Metazoa; Chordata; Mammalia; Rodentia; Caviidae. The record is from Rfam by way of RNAcentral.